AGGAGGUCGUCAUGAUCGAGUCGAAGCCAUGGGGUGACACGUGGUGGAUCGAGUCAUGAUUGCUGAUCUCGGUAGUAGUAGCCAUUACUCCAUCUGGAGGCCUGACGUGGAGAUGGGUUCCGUAUCCCUGUCGAUCAGAUACGGGUGACACGAUCCUAAGUCCGAUGUGUACGCCGUACCAUGGGGUCAUCCUCACAGGACGAUAGGGCUGACCGGUUAACAUCCCGGUGGUAUGAUGGGGUCUUGGUGACAUCCUUUCACAACGGUACAUGAACGAAGCACAUGGUGGGAGUCAUCCCGUCCUACCCCAGUCCCCCCAUGGCCAGUAGUACUUCAGGUCGUGCAUGGCCAUGAUGGAUCACAUGUCCCUUCGGUCAUCCAUGAAACCCGUUGUGUCCCCCCCCAUCCUGAUCGUACCACAACCGCAACAGGACUCCAAGGUGAUCAGCCUCUAGGCGGGAGAGACCAUGACUCAGGGAAGUCGGCAAACUAGCUCCGUAACCUCGGGAGAAGGAGUGGCUCUGAUCGAUCAGAACCGGCACGGACCGAGGGAUCCCGACUGUCUACUAACAACAUAGCGUCGUGCCAGUCGUCAUGGAUGCGUACACGACGUGAUUUCUGCCCAGUGCCAUGACCGUCACCAUGAAGAGGUUCAUCCAAGCCCUGGUAAACGGCGGGAGUAACUAUGACUCUCUUAAGGUAGCCAAAUGCCUCGUCGGGUAAUUUCCGACGUGCAUGAAUGGAUCAACGAGGAUCCCACUGUCCCAAGUCAUGCCUCCGUGAACCUACAGACCCGGGAACGGGCGGGUGUUGGUCGGCGGGGCAAGAAGACCCUUUUGAGCUUGACUCCAAUCCGAUCCUGGGGGAUGGGAUCAUCGGUGCAGCAUACAGGGGAGGCCGCUUCCAUGAGAUACCCUGACGUUGUUCACCAUCCCACUCACCGACUUACAUCGGCACACGGUCGGAUGGGGAGUUUGGCUGGGGCGGCGCGCCUGCUAGAUCACACCGCAGGCGUCCUAUGGUAAGCUCAGUGAGGUCGGAAACCUCACGUGGAGCAUAAGGGCAUAAGCUUACUUGACUAGUACCCCCUGUCCCGGUACUUGCCGUGAAAGCGUGGCCUAACGAUCCUUCAACCGCUCCGGUAAUCCGAGCGUGGAGGUGACAGAAAAGUUACCACAGGGAUAACUGGCUUGUGGCCGCCAAGCGCCCAUAGCGACGUGGCUUUUUGAUCCUUCGAUGUCGGCUCUUCCUACCGUCCGCAUGCAUCGGUGCGGAAGCGUCGGAUUGUUCACCCGUCUAAGGGAUCGUGAGCUGGGUUUAGACCGUCGUGAGACAGGUUAGUUUUAUCCUACCGACCAUCUCCAUGCGUCCAGUACGUCGGGUCAGUACGAGAGGAACACCCGUCGCGAGCCUCCGAUCUCCCGGUUGUUUGACUUGACAGUGCCGGUCUGUCGCGCUCGGGGGACUAGCACUGAACGCCUCUAAGUGUCCAUCCCACCUACUCGCAUGGGUUGAGGGGCUUCCCCUCGAUUCGCCCGGGUUGACGACCCUUUUCUCCGACCUACUGUACGGCGUGGAGCUUCUUGCGACCGCCUGAGGUUUGGUUCGGGUUGGCAUUCCCCCCGAG
RNAcentral lists this ribosomal RNA (1627 nucleotides) under Giardia muris. RNAcentral's name for it is "partial 28S ribosomal RNA". It matches the Rfam family "Eukaryotic large subunit ribosomal RNA", at positions 1383 to 3401 of the family's 3401-position model. The record is from RNAcentral. Lineage: Eukaryota; Fornicata; Diplomonadida; Hexamitidae.